CUCAUUCAUUUGCAGGCAAAGGAGGUUUGCGAUAACACAAAAACAUGAGAAGGACUUCAGAGUCAAAACGUCUGCGGAAUAUUAACACCAGUUAUCAUGUCAAAGUGAUGAUAACAUUUUGAUGAGUGUAUACUGUAGAGAAUGCCAGAACUUGGGAUAAUAGCAUGAAUUGGUUAGAAACGUUUAUUCCUUUAGUUCAGUUAGAUCAAGUUAUCAGGGAAGCUAACAAAUUAAUAGUUGAUGUUAAGCCUAAAGAUGCCACACAACUUAAAAGAGGACACCACAUUUCCGUUCCAGGAAGAAAACCAUUAUUCCGUUAUAGACACCAUGCCAUAAUUGUUGAAGUGAAGGAAAAUACCAAUUCAAGAAAAGCAACAGUUGUUGUAAUUCACACUCCUAAUCCCAAACACAAAAAAGGGAGACGUAUUGUACGAGAAGAAAAAGAAUAUGACGUGAACGAGAUUUUGAUUAGGGAGUAUACAUUUUCUAAAUAUACAUUGGAAGAAGUUGCUCAAAACGCGGAACAGCAUUGUAAUUCAAACUGCGACAGGCGGUACAAUCUAUGUAACAUGAACUGUGAACAUUUUUGUACCGAAUGUGCCAUUGGCAUACAUAUGAGCCACCAGGUUCUCAACGCACCAAUGGUUGUAGCCAAAUGUCCGAAGCAUUUUUUACACCAAAAAAUAGUACGUGUUUAUGCAUUUUACGUAAAAGAAAAUGGAUGUUGGAAUGUCUACAUUGGAUUUGCUCUGAUAAUAUUGGUAUUAACCGUGUUUCCCUUCCUGUUUAUGAAACUGACAGGUAUAUCGAGAUCUUUAUACGGAACCCAUGACAAAACACCGGAACAAAGAACGGGAUGACAGUACCAAUGCAAUCACACAAGAGUGAUUUGUGUCACCAAAGUUUAUACUAAAACCUAGAAACUACAAUGACAAGUUUUGUAAUAAACCCUUUACUUACUUUAAUGAGGGUAUUAAGUACACAAAAGAGAGACAAAUCACAUCAUAAAACCAAAACAGACUGCACAUGCAAAAAAAUGUACUUUUUGUUUUAUGUUGUUGGUAUUGCCUAAGAACGGUCAAAAUUCAAUUAAAUUGUC
Mya arenaria is the source of this 1099-nucleotide long non-coding RNA. RefSeq lists it as uncharacterized. NCBI's taxonomy places the organism in Eukaryota, Metazoa, Mollusca, Bivalvia, Myida, Myidae. The transcript is spliced from 2 exons. The record is from RefSeq and is a predicted model, not a curated record.